RNAcentral lists this ribosomal RNA (874 nucleotides) under uncultured bacterium. Its description in RNAcentral is "bacterial SSU rRNA". It matches the Rfam family "Bacterial small subunit ribosomal RNA", at positions 32 to 860 of the family's 1533-position model. The record is from RNAcentral.
AACGCCGGCGGUGUGCCUAAUACAUGCAAGUCGAACGCGUUGGCCCAACUGAUUGAUUGUGCUUGCACAGGAUUGACGUUGGUUUCCCAACGAGUGGCGGACGGGUGAGUAACACGUAGGCAACCUGCCCCGAAGCGGGGGACAACAUUUGGAAACAAGUGCUAAUACCGCAUAACAACUUUGACCGCCUGGUCAAAGCUUAAAAGAUGGUUUCGGCUAUCACUUCGGGAUGGGCCUGCGGCGCAUUAGCUUGUUGGUGGGGUAACGGCCUACCAAGGCGAUGAUGCGUAGCCGAGUUGAGAGACUGAUCGGCCACAAUGGGACUGAGACACGGCCCAUACUCCUACGGGAGGCAGCAGUAGGGAAUCUUCCACAAUGGGCGCAAGCCUGAUGGAGCAACACCGCGUGAGUGAAGAAGGGUUUCGGCUCGUAAAGCUCUGUUGUUGAAGAAGAAUGUGCAAGUAGAGUAACUGUUCUUGUAUUGACGGUAUUCAACCAGAAAGUCACGGCUAACUACGUGCCAGCAGCCGCGGUAAUACGUAGGUGGCAAGCGUUAUCCGGAUUUAUUGGGCGUAAAGCGAGCGCAGGCGGUUUUCUAAGUCUGAUGUGAAAGCCUUCGGCUUAACCGAAGAAGUGCAUCGGAAACUGGAUGACUUGAGUGCAGAAGAGGGCAGUGGAACUCCAUGUGUAGCGGUGGAAUGCGUAGAUAUAUGGAAGAACACCAGUGGCGAAGGCGGCUGCCUGGUCUGUAACUGACGCUGAGGCUCGAAAGCAUGGGUAGCGAACAGGAUUAGAUACCCUGGUAGUCCAUGCCGUAAACGAUGAGUGCUAGGUGUUGGAGGGUUUCCGCCCUUCAGUGCCGGAGCUAACGCAU